CAUUGCACUUGUCUCGGCUACU
Molecule: microRNA, 22 nt
Filed under: Taeniopygia guttata (zebra finch)
Lineage: Eukaryota; Metazoa; Chordata; Aves; Passeriformes; Estrildidae
Description: tgu-miR-25
Gene: tgu-miR-25
Source: miRBase by way of RNAcentral